RNAcentral lists this ribosomal RNA (230 nucleotides) under uncultured bacterium. RNAcentral describes it as "partial 16S ribosomal RNA". It matches the Rfam family "Bacterial small subunit ribosomal RNA", at positions 568 to 796 of the family's 1533-position model. The record is from RNAcentral.
UGCGUAGGCGGGACAAUAAGUCAGUGGUGAAAGUCCACCGCUCAACGGUGGGAUUGCCAUUGAUACUGUUGUUCUUGAGUAGAGUCGAGGUAGGCGGAAUUUAUGGUGUAGCGGUGAAAUGCAUAGAUACCAUAAGGAACACCGAUAGCGAAGGCAGCUUACUAGACUACUAACUGACGCUGAGGCACGAAAGCGUGGGUAGCGAACAGGAUUAGAUACCCUGGUAGUCC